AACAGGCUAGGAGAAACGAACUUUGAGUAGAUGACCUGGGUUCUAAAUUCUAGUUCUGAUCAGGGGAGCUAGGAUAAGGUGCAUGGAUCCCCUGAGCCUACAUUUUCUCAUUUUAUAAAUAAGGAGACUAAAACCAAUAAUGUGCUCAGGAAACACUGGACAAGCUGUUUGGGCUCUCUAGCCUUGGAUUCCUCAUUUGUAAGACAAAGAAGAUAAUCCUACCCUAUUGCCCAUGUUGGUGUGGGAAUCCACAAAGAAGGACACGGCACUGUUCCAAGUCAAGGGUUACAGGGAGAAUGGAACAAGUUUCAGUAGAAGAAACUUCACCUAACCUCUUUAAUUCCAACAGUUCUUGAAUUUCCUG
Molecule: long non-coding RNA, 364 nt
Filed under: Homo sapiens (human)
Lineage: Eukaryota; Metazoa; Chordata; Mammalia; Primates; Hominidae
Description: non-protein coding lnc-PHF14-4:2
Source: RNAcentral